ACGAGAAUCUAUGGAAAGAGGAUUCGUCCAAUUGAAAUAGAGGACAGUGGCGGACGGGUGAGUAACGCGUGAGGAACCUGCCUUUCAGAGGGGGACAACAGUUGGAAACGACUGCUAAUACCGCAUAACGCGUAGAGGUCGCAUGGCCUUUACGCCAAAGAUUUAUCGCUGAAAGAUGGCCUCGCGUCUGAUUAGCUAGUUGGUGAGGUAACGGCCCACCAAGGCGACGAUCAGUAGCCGGACUGAGAGGUUGAACGGCCACAUUGGGACUGAGAUACGGCCCAGACUCCUACGGGAGGCAGCAGUGGGGAAUAUUGGGCAAUGGGCGCAAGCCUGACCCAGCAACGCCGCGUGAAGGAAGAAGGCUUUCGGGUUGUAAACUUCUUUUGUCAGGGACGAGCAGAAGACGGUACCUGACGAAUAAGCCACGGCUAACUACGUGCCAGCAGCCGCGGUAAUACGUAGGUGGCAAGCGUUGUCCGGAUUUACUGGGUGUAAAGGGCGUGUAGCCGGGUCGGCAAGUCAGAUGUGAAAUCCACGGGCUUAACUCGUGAACUGCAUUUGAAACUGUUGAUCUUGAGUAUCGGAGAGGCAAUCGGAAUUCCUAGUGUAGCGGUGAAAUGCGUAGAUAUUAGGAGGAACACCAGUGGCGAAGGCGGAUUGCUGGACGACAACUGACGGUGAGGCGCGAAAGCGUGGGGAGCAAACAGGAUUAGAUACCC
RNAcentral lists this ribosomal RNA (722 nucleotides) under uncultured bacterium. RNAcentral describes it as "bacterial SSU rRNA". It matches the Rfam family "Bacterial small subunit ribosomal RNA", at positions 62 to 787 of the family's 1533-position model. The record is from RNAcentral.